This 253-nucleotide ribosomal RNA is filed under the name uncultured bacterium. RNAcentral's name for it is "partial 16S ribosomal RNA". It matches the Rfam family "Bacterial small subunit ribosomal RNA", at positions 524 to 776 of the family's 1533-position model. The record is from RNAcentral.
UACGGAGGGAGCUAGCGUUGUUCGGCAUUCCUGGGCGUAAAGCGCACGUAGGCGGCUUUGUAAGUUAGAGGUGAAAGCCCGGGGCUCAACUCCGGAACUGCCUUUAAGACUGCAUCGCUUGAAUCCAGGAGAGGUGAGUGGAAUUCCGAGUGUAGAGGUGAAAUUCGUAGAUAUUCGGAAGAACACCAGUGGCGAAGGCGGCUCACUGGACUGGUAUUGACGCUGAGGUGCGAAAGCGUGGGGAGCAAACAGG